Molecule: long non-coding RNA, 399 nt
Filed under: Brassica napus (rape)
Lineage: Eukaryota; Viridiplantae; Streptophyta; Magnoliopsida; Brassicales; Brassicaceae
Description: long non-coding RNA (BNAP_LNC009411)
Source: RNAcentral
UCGACGAGCUCCUUGUUAACCAUAAUUCUCAUUGUAUCUUUGUUAAUAUGACCUAAACGUGCGUGCCAUAUAGCACCUUCUCCGCAAGUUUUUACUUGCAGACACUGAAUGAGAUCUACUUGUAAGGUUACCUUGUAGAAACGAUUCUUUGCUCUUGUUGUCUUGACCAUCAACUGUCCUUCACGAUCAAAUAGUGUCAACAUGUUGUCCUUCAUACUCACUUCACAUCCUACCUCAGUAGCUUGUCCCAAGCUAACAAUGUUACUACGUAGUGCCGUUAUGUAGUAAACAUUCUUCAAUACCUUCUUCUCACCUCUCUUGAUGAUGAACCGAAUUGAGCAUUUACCCAUUAUGUCAAUUCUCGAGUCGUCUCCUGAACGUACCUUUCUAGUGAUUGUA